This 1190-nucleotide long non-coding RNA is filed under the name Homo sapiens (human). RNAcentral's name for it is "non-protein coding lnc-CDY2B-7:1". Lineage: Eukaryota; Metazoa; Chordata; Mammalia; Primates; Hominidae. The record is from RNAcentral.
CCUUCUCCCUGCAGUUGUCCCUUAAGGAGAUGUUGCAGGAGAUUUAGCCGGUGCUGAUGGUCCAUGAAGAAAUGUGUCACUGCACCUCCUUCUCACUGCACCUGGUUAGCAACAUGCCAAACCACUUCCCAGGGCGGCAAAACAGUGAGGAGCUGCAGGAGGGCUCAGGGCUGUGUAUGAGGGAAGAGCUACACACACUACUCAAGGCCUGCUUCCACAUGAACCACGUCCUAGAGCAGCUUAAGAGCCUGAACCCAUCUGCUGCCUUCAGCAGGGCUGACUAAAGCUGCUUGUUCUUCCCGAGCAUAUUCUCCAAUGACCUGAGAGAACAGUAGGAGUGAAAGAAUGGCUUGGAGAUGAGCCUCAUUGACUGUUUGCCACCUGAGUACAUCUUGCCAGGGUCCCAAGAGGGACCAUUGUGUCUCCAGAGCCAUGACUGGAAGGGCUUUAGUGCCUAAAAGUGCCCAGCAUGAGCAGCUGGAACCCACUUCCUAGAAACUGCAAGAUGCAAGGGGACCUCAUGUACCUCUUUGUAAUUACAGACAAGGACCCGAAGGGCCCCAUCACUGCAUCCACAUGGGACUUUUACUGGAUCCAGCCUACAGCCUAUUGCUCAACCCCAAGCUCACCAGCCUUUGCUUCCUAAGCCAUUCGCCACUGGAGCUGCUCAAGUACCACAGCCUGAACUUCACAAAACACUUUGUCAUGCCAUGAAAGAAAAGUGCCAUGGACUGUGUGCACACAGAGAAUGCCCGCACCUUGAGGCUGAACUAUGAGGAGAACCUUCCUGAACAGUCCCAGGACUGAAACAAGGAGCUGCAGACAAUGAGGGAACUGCUCUGCAAGAACGGCCUGAGUGGCUGCUUCAAGAAAGAACCACAGUGAAAACCCUUGGAUCCAGGGGGUGAUUUACAACAUGUGCAAGGCAGUCAGCUCCAUCAGCUGUACAGCCUUCAACAUUCACUUCACCUUGGACAUCUCACCAGUCCUGAGUAACCAACACAAGGCAGUGCUAAUUAGUGGGCGAGUGAUAGGCAUCGGGCACCCCAAUACCAUCUGGGAAGAAAUGCAUCUGCACUGUGCUUCUUCUCCAGCAGUCAGCUGCCCAUGGUCCUGAGCCUGUCAUGCCAUGCCUGCUACCUCACACUGCUUGUGUUUGAAAAAAACAUCCUGAGAUGGUGCUGCUGGAU